This 78-nucleotide transfer RNA is filed under the name Deltaproteobacteria bacterium. Its description in RNAcentral is "tRNA-Val". It matches the Rfam family "tRNA". From Rfam's summary of the family: Transfer RNA (tRNA) molecules are approximately 80 nucleotides in length. Their secondary structure includes four short double-helical elements and three loops (D, anti-codon, and T loops). Further hydrogen bonds mediate the characteristic L-shaped molecular structure. tRNAs have two regions of fundamental functional importance: the anti-codon, which is responsible for specific mRNA codon recognition, and the 3' end, to which the tRNAs corresponding amino acid is attached (by aminoacyl-tRNA synthetases). tRNAs cope with the degeneracy of the genetic code in two manners: having more than one tRNA (with a specific anti-codon) for a particular amino acid; and 'wobble' base-pairing, i.e. permitting non-standard base-pairing at the 3rd anti-codon position. The record is from RNAcentral. RNAcentral also lists the same sequence under 1 other name. Lineage: Bacteria; Pseudomonadati; Myxococcota; Myxococcia.
GGGCGUGUAGCUCAGCUGGUCUAGAGCAUCUCGUUUACACCGAGAGGGUCACAGGUUCGAACCCUGUCACGCCCACCA